CAGCCGCCACGGUAAAACCGAGGAUGCAAGCGUUAUCCGGAAUGAUUGGGCGUAAAGCGUCUGUAGGUGGCUUUUCAAGUCCGCCGUCAAAUCCCCGAGCUCAACCCUGGACAAGCAGUGGAAACUACCAAGCUGGAGUACGGUAGGGGUAGAGGGAAUUUCUGGUGGAGCGGUGAAAUGCGUAGAUAUCGGAAGGAACACCUGUGGCGAAAGCGGCUCACUGGACCAUUUCUGACGCUGAUGCACGAAAGCUAGGGGAGCAAACAGGAUUAGAUACCCCGGUAGUCCCUGUCUCUUAUAU
RNAcentral lists this ribosomal RNA (301 nucleotides) under uncultured bacterium. RNAcentral describes it as "partial 16S ribosomal RNA". It matches the Rfam family "Bacterial small subunit ribosomal RNA", at positions 509 to 809 of the family's 1533-position model. The record is from RNAcentral.